Molecule: non-coding RNA, 443 nt
Organism: Prunus mume (Japanese apricot)
Lineage: Eukaryota; Viridiplantae; Streptophyta; Magnoliopsida; Rosales; Rosaceae
Source: RefSeq, a predicted model, not a curated record
ACCGCCGGGCGGCCACGGGCCCGCCUGGCCGCCUGCCUAGGCCGACUUUUCAGUUCUCGCUCUCCAGCAUCCAAACGCAUUCUCUCUCUCCCCUUGUCGUCAAGGUUUUUCUGUGUUGAAAUGAGACUGAACAUAGUGGAACAAAAACAAAUUUCACGUGAAAAAUGCGGUCCAAGUGUUUGGAAUUGCAGCAAGAUUUCUUUUUGAAAGCUUAAAUGUCGGGAAGCAAAGUGUUGCUAACGUAUAAGCGAAAGCGGCAAUCAAGAACAGAUCCUGUACAGGGACAUGAGUGCCGUAAUUCACUUUUUGUUGCUUCUGAUGAUACUUCUUUAAGCAAACCACUAGACUUGCAAGUUAAUUUGAUUGAUAAGCGUUCAUCAGAACAUUGCAACAGAAAUUCUGCGGUGAGAUUUUAGAAAGAUGGAACCUGUUCACUUUUUUUA